AUUGCUUCUUGGCCUUUUGGCUAAGAUCAAGUGUAGUAUCUUAUGUCUCCAUUGAUUUUGAAAGAUACUUUUGCAGCACAUAUCAAUCUGGGUUUGAGGUUGUUUUUCUUUAGGGAUUGAAGCACUGCACUCUAGGGUCUUCUU
This is a small nuclear RNA of Heterocephalus glaber (naked mole-rat), 144 nucleotides long. Its record names the gene U2. It matches the Rfam family "U2 spliceosomal RNA". From Rfam's summary of the family: U2 is a small nuclear RNA (snRNA) component of the spliceosome (involved in pre-mRNA splicing). Complementary binding between U2 snRNA (in an area lying towards the 5' end but 3' to hairpin I) and the branchpoint sequence (BPS) of the intron results the bulging out of an unpaired adenosine, on the BPS, which initiates a nucleophilic attack at the intronic 5' splice site, thus starting the first of two transesterification reactions that mediate splicing. The record is from Ensembl. Lineage: Eukaryota; Metazoa; Chordata; Mammalia; Rodentia; Bathyergidae.